ACUACUUUGGCAGAAAAAUGCAAUAAAUUUAGAAUUUAUUUAUGUAACGAAUGUUACAGGUGGUA
Molecule: transfer RNA, 65 nt
Filed under: Tuxedo bicinctus
Lineage: Eukaryota; Metazoa; Arthropoda; Insecta; Hemiptera; Miridae
Description: tRNA-Leu
Source: RNAcentral